UACGGGGGGAGCAAGCGUUGUUCGGAUUUACUGGGCGUAAAGGGCGCGUAGGCGGUCAGUGCAAGUCAGUUGUGAAAUCUCCGGGCUUAACUCGGAACGGUCAACUGAUACUGCUCGACUAGAGUGCGGAAGGGGCAACUGGAAUUCUUGGUGUAGCGGUGAAAUGCGUAGAUAUCAAGAGGAACACCUGCGGCGAAGGCGGGUUGCUGGGCCGACACUGACGCUGAGUGCGCGAAAGCCAGGGGAGCGAACGGG
RNAcentral lists this ribosomal RNA (255 nucleotides) under uncultured bacterium. RNAcentral's name for it is "partial 16S ribosomal RNA". It matches the Rfam family "Bacterial small subunit ribosomal RNA", at positions 524 to 776 of the family's 1533-position model. The record is from RNAcentral.